UAGGGAAUCUUCGGCAAUGGGGGCAACCCUGACCGAGCAACGCCGCGUGAGUGAAGAAGGUUUUCGGAUCGUAAAGCUCUGUUGUAAGAGAAGAACGUGUGUGAGAGUGGAAAGUUCACACAGUGACGGUAACUUACCAGAAAGGGACGGCUAACUACGUGCCAGCAGCCGCGGUAAUACGUAGGUCCCGAGCGUUGUCCGGAUUUAUUGGGCGUAAAGCGAGCGCAGGCGGGUUAAUAAGUCUGAAGUUAAAGGCAGUGGCUUAACCAUUGUUCGCUUUGGAAACUGUUAAACUUGAGUGCAGAAGGGGAGAGUGGAAUUCCAUGUGUAGCGGUGAAAUGCGUAGAUAUAUGGAGGAACACCGGUGGCGAAAGCGGCUCUCUGGUCUGUAACUGACGCUGAGGCUCGAAAGCGUGGGGAGCAAACAGG
RNAcentral lists this ribosomal RNA (429 nucleotides) under bacterium. RNAcentral's name for it is "partial 16S ribosomal RNA". It matches the Rfam family "Bacterial small subunit ribosomal RNA", at positions 355 to 776 of the family's 1533-position model. The record is from RNAcentral.